GCGAGCCAGUGAAUGAGGCGCUGCUACGGCAGAGGAAACUCCUCCCUCCAUGCAGCAAGUGAUCCGGCGACGGAUAGUCAGAGAUGAUUGGCAGCAGAACAGAAACUAUCUGAUCUGGAAUGUACUGUGAUGGUUAUGCCUGAGGUUUCCAGCAAGGAAUGAAAAGUCUGCACCACUUGGAGAAAGGCCAAAUCAAACUGUAAGCGCUGCACUUUGUUUAGGUAGGCCGCAUAGCGAAAUCUCGUAAAACAGAAGGAGGGUUACUGCUGGCACGC
Molecule: RNase P RNA, 275 nt
Filed under: Nitrososphaerota archaeon
Lineage: Archaea; Thermoproteati; Nitrososphaerota
Also listed under: 1 other name
Description: Thaumarchaeota archaeon RNase P RNA component
Rfam family: Archaeal RNase P
About the family: Ribonuclease P (RNase P) is a ubiquitous endoribonuclease, found in archaea, bacteria and eukarya as well as chloroplasts and mitochondria. Its best characterised activity is the generation of mature 5'-ends of tRNAs by cleaving the 5'-leader elements of precursor-tRNAs.
Source: RNAcentral